Long non-coding RNA from Cucurbita maxima (winter squash), 873 nucleotides. RefSeq lists it as uncharacterized. The transcript is spliced from 2 exons. Lineage: Eukaryota; Viridiplantae; Streptophyta; Magnoliopsida; Cucurbitales; Cucurbitaceae. The record is from RefSeq and is a predicted model, not a curated record.
AUUUCUUCCUCCUCCGCCCAUUCGACAAUGACCUCUUUCAGUUUUGACACACUGAGCUACCAUUCACAACAUCCUCCGAUACAGCGGGACAAGGCGGAGAUGAUUCCACCCAAAAUCCUCUGCACCAUCUCAUAGGAAGCCUCUGACGGCGUGGUAAGAGAGAGUGUGGAUGGAUCCGAUUGAUGCUCUCCAGGAUGCAAUCGAAUCCUUAACUCUUCAAUGCGUUGAUCUCUCAGGUGAUUUCCGAUUGUUUGUGUGAGAUGCGUUCCUGGUCAGGCUAGCUCGAGAGAUCACCCUUUGGUACCGAGCUUGGAGAAGCUGAAACAAUUGGACGUUGAUUGAGGAUUUUGAUAGGAUAUCAGAGCUGUGUGGAUUGAAUGAGGAAUGGGCCAUAAUUGCGUUAAGAAAUGGGGGAUUGGAAUUGCUCUGUUAUCUCCGUUCCGAGAUUCCGAGUGAUUGCGAGCGUGCCGUUGCUUCCGCUUUAAAGGCUAUGGGGGCUACUACUUCAAGGUAAUGUCAAUUAUAUCAACGCGUGCCAUUGAAGGCAAAGCUGGAGAUCUUGCUAUUCAAGCUAUGCAGAAGUUCCCUUCACCUCAACUAAUGCAAAGGGGCUCGCGUGUCACUUGAUACGAGUCCUGUAGUCAGGAACCCACUGUACAGGGCUCUCUCAAACUAUUUUCUUACAUGUCUCUUACUAUAUUCUAUUGAUAUUAGCACUGCAUAUCUUAAGCUAUUCUUCAUUAAUGUUAGCAAUCACAUGUUUCAAAACUAUUCUCCAUUGAUGUUAGCAGCAUUACAUGUUUCAAAUUAUUGUGAGUUAAGAUGGUGAAGUUGAGAUAUCUCAACACUCGAAUCAACCAGAGGGAAUCAAAA